Molecule: ribosomal RNA, 253 nt
Filed under: uncultured prokaryote
Description: partial 16S ribosomal RNA
Rfam family: Bacterial small subunit ribosomal RNA
Source: RNAcentral
GACGUAGGGGGCCAGCGUUGCUCGGAAUUACUGGGUGUAAAGGGUUCGUAGGCGGUGCGGCAAGUUGGGAGUGAAAUCUCUGGGCUCAACCCAGAGGCUGCUUCCAAAACUGCUGUGCUUGAGUGUGGGAGAGGCGCGUGGAAUUGCAGGUGUAGCGGUGAAAUGCGUAGAUAUCAAGAGGAACACCUGCGGCGAAGGCGGGUUGCUGGGCCGACACUGACGCUGAUGCGCGAAAGCCAGGGGAGCGAACGGG